UAGUAAUCUGACACAACGGUCCUAACCAAAUACAGAAUUAUGUUUGAAAUGUGGACCAAAAAUUAAACCUCCUGGCAACUACUAAGGAGCAACCCGUGCCAGAGUUUUUGGGAAUGUUCCUCUCCAUCUGUCCAGAGAGUGUUAAUGGACUUCCAUAAAAUCAGCAGCUGACUUUAAGGUCCACCAUAUAGGACAGGUUUCUGUGUGGUGUUGUCAUUCUUGGCAGACUCCAGCUAAAAUUUCCAAAGGUUCUCCAAACAGAAGUGUCCCAAGAGAUUAAAGCUAAACUCGCUCUUCCGUGAAAAUACUGCUCAGUGAAAAUAAAGUAAGGUAUAAAGUUAUAUAUCCGUGAGGCUGUCUUACUUUCAGUCUUGCAUAAAGCUCUCUAGUCGAAGAGGUCCCAACAACUCCAUGACCUCUUAAAAUAAAAGUAAAGCUUGAAUCUCAGUAAAACCUGUAUUUAACAAUGUAUUGUCUUGUUGAAAGGCCCUACCUCUGCUUUGUGCUGCCUCUCUGUCCCAUGGCCUUGUUUCUCCUCCAUGUCUGCCAGUUUCAGUUUCAGGUAGGACACCUCCCCCAUGAGACUCAGCUUCUGCUUCUCCAGUGACGUCCUAUGCACAAGUUCCUGUCAUAGAGCAAACACACGUGAUAAACGGUCCUGGUAGGACUCACUGUUGUCUGAUGACUGGUGGUUUACCUUGGAAUAUACAGUGAAACAUUUGAGAGCAAAUGAGGAGAAGAGGAGGAUGACAGCGACAUAGACCACAGAGG
Molecule: long non-coding RNA, 771 nt
Organism: Dunckerocampus dactyliophorus (ringed pipefish)
Lineage: Eukaryota; Metazoa; Chordata; Actinopteri; Syngnathiformes; Syngnathidae
Exons: 3
Source: RefSeq, a predicted model, not a curated record